Molecule: ribosomal RNA, 500 nt
Filed under: uncultured bacterium
Lineage: Bacteria
Description: bacterial SSU rRNA
Rfam family: Bacterial small subunit ribosomal RNA
Source: RNAcentral
GAUGAGCGCUAGCGGGAGGCUUAACACAUGCAAGUCGAGGGGCAUCACGAGGUAGCAAUACCUUGGUGGCGACCGGCGCACGGGUGAGUAACACGUAUGCAACCUUCCCUGUACAGGGGGAUAACCCGGAGAAAUUCGGACUAAUACCCCAUGAUGAUAUUUAUGGGCAUCCAUUGAUAUUUAAAGCCCUGGCGGUACAGGAUGGGCAUGCGCGACAUUAGCUAGUUGGUAAGGUAACGGCUUACCAAGGCCACGAUGUUUAGGGGACCUGAGAGGGUUGUCCCCCACACUGGUACUGAGACACGGACCAGACUCCUACGGGAGGCAGCAGUGAGGAAUAUUGGUCAAUGGGCGGAAGCCUGAACCAGCCAUCCCGCGUGAAGGAAGAAUGCGCUAUGCGUUGUAAACUUCUUUUCCAGGGGGAGAAUAAUCCUGUCGUGACAGGACUUGACGGUACUCUGGGAAUAAGCAUCGGCUAACUCCGUGCCAGCAGCCGCGGU